UUCACUCGGUCCGAUGUCGGUGGGUUAUCUGAACCCCUCCCACCGACGCCAACUUGACCGUUGA
RNAcentral lists this small RNA (64 nucleotides) under Caenorhabditis japonica. RNAcentral describes it as "snoRNA CJA48944". It matches the Rfam family "Nematode sRNA ceN72-3_ceN74-2". Lineage: Eukaryota; Metazoa; Nematoda; Chromadorea; Rhabditida; Rhabditidae. The record is from Rfam by way of RNAcentral.